Motacilla alba alba is the source of this 2526-nucleotide long non-coding RNA. RefSeq lists it as uncharacterized. The record is from RefSeq and is a predicted model, not a curated record. The transcript has 4 exons. Lineage: Eukaryota; Metazoa; Chordata; Aves; Passeriformes; Motacillidae.
UCUUUAAAAAGGUGGUGGGACAAGCUCACCCUGACAAGGUUCAGUUGUAGAGUUUAAGGCAACUAAGUGAAUUUACAGGAUCUUCAGCAGACAGUACAACAGAUGCAAUUGGAGGCAGUCCUAAACAAAAUCAGAUUAAGAAAAGAGGAGCAUCUUGUUCCAGUAAUGCUGUACCUGGGAGCAAGAGGUUUUUCUGAGAUGAAGAAUCCUUAUCCAGGUUUGAUGUUUUUCUGCCAUGGGAUGGAUUCCACAAUGGGGAGAAAGGGAAUGUGAAACUUAAUGAUUUCUGCCAGCUCAAGGUUAACGAGGCUUCUUGUGCUUUUGCACCCUGAGAAGUAUCUGGAUCUGGCAUUAUUCUACAUUAGUAUUUCAUGCACAUUCCUUACAAUUGAAAAUACAAGGAAAUCAAUACUUCUUUGAAUGAAAUAUGUAAAACAAGGAAAGAACAUAAUAGAACACUCAUCCCUGAAUCAGGUAAGACCAAGUUUAAAGUACCUCAUUAGUUUGUCUCUAAUAUUAGCCUGGAAAAGGUGCCUCUGCAGAAACAAUUAUAUUUCGUAGAAUAAUAGAAUGUUAAUAGGUUGGAAUGGACCUUAAAAUCAUCUAUUCCCAGCUCCCACUGCCAUGCACAGGGAUACCUCCACUAGCCCAGGUUACUCAAGGCUUUAUCCAACCUAGCUUUGAACAUUGCCAGGGCUGGGGCAUACACUGCCCUCCCUGGGCAGCCUCUUCCAAUGUCUCACCCCACUCACAGAAAAGAAUUUCUUCCUAAUAUCUAACCUAAAUUAGAGGACUGGGAAAUCAUCAGCCUCAUGAAUUUCAACAAAGAAAAGUGCUGGAUUCUGUACCUGGGAUAGAGCUGGAUUCUGUACCUGGGUAGGUACAAUCUGGAGAAUGAAAUACUGGAAAGCAGCAUCGUAGACUUUGGGGUCCUGGUUGAUGGCCAGUUGGAUGUGAGCCAGCCGUGUCCUGGCAGCCGGGAGGAUCACCUGUGUCCUGGGGUGCAUCAGGCACAGCAUCACUGGCCAGGCAAGGAGGGGAUUGUCCUCUGCUCUGCUCUGCACUGGGACAGCCUCACAUUGAAUAUUUUGUGAACUUUGGGGCACCUCAGUAUAAGAAAGAUAUAAAGCUUUGAGAGUGUCCAAAUGAGGGCAGUGAAGAUGGUGAAGGGCCUUGAGGGGAAGCCUUGUGAGGAGUGGCUGAGGUCACUUGGUCUGUUCAGCCUGGAGAAGAGGAGACUGAGGGGAGACCUCAUUGCAGUUACAGCUUCCUCAAGAGGGGAAGAGGAGGGGCAGACAAGGAAUGGUGCCCAAGGGUGCCUGAAAUUGUGUCAGGGGAGAUGUAGGCUGGAUAUUGGAAAAAUUUUCUCCGCACAGAGGGUGGUUGGGCACUUACCCAGGGAAAUGGUCGCAGCACCAAGCCUGAUGGAGUUCAAGAUGUAUUCGGGCAAUACUCUCAGGCACUUGGUGUGGCUCUUGGUCUCCUGGGCUGAGACUUGGACUUAAAUAUCCUUUUGGGUAUCUUCCAACUCAGCUUUUUUUGUGAUUCUGUGAUUUGCACCCAUCAUUCCUUGUUCUAUCACUAAAGUUCCUGAUCAAGAGUACCUCUCCAGCUUCUGUGUAAGACACCUUCAGAUGCUGGAAGGUUGCUGUGAGGUCUCCACCCAAAAUUCUCUUCUCCAGCCUGAACAGUCCCAGCUUUCUCAGCCUGUCUUCUGAGAGAAAGAACACCAAGUCCUCUAAUCAACCUUGUGGCCCUCCUCUGGACUUAUUCCAAUAGUUCCAUGUUCUUAUGCUGGGGACACCAGAGCUGUAUGCAGUAUUUCAGGUGGAGUCUCACAAAAGCAGAGUAGAGCAGGAGAAUCACCCCUAUCUACCAGCCAUGCUGCUUUUGAAACUGCCCAGGGUUUGGUUUUCUGUGCUGCAACUACACACUGCCAGCUCAUGUUAAUUUUUGCAUCAACCAUCACCCCCAAGUAUUCCUCAGCAGGCUGUGGAAAAAGUUAUUAAGUUAUAUAUUCUAAGUCUACUCUACCAGGCCACACAUAUUGUCAGUUUACAAGUAGCCAAACUUGGUAAUUGUUAUUAUUCAGUAGCUAUUUUGAAUACCUCAUUCUUCCAAUUCUUUUUCAAGCUUAUAUCAACUUCUAACACCACAAGUGUCCUGUAAUAACUUCAUUACAUGAAGAGGAUUUUUGUUGUUUCAAACUUGCCUUAUUCAUAUUUCAUCUGAUAGCUGCUUUUUCUCUCUAGAAAAGACAGUAUGCAAUCAUACCCUUUUUAGCUCCUUCAUAAUCUUGAUGAUUUUAUAAACUAUUGUUACAUUAAUAAUGUCUUUUUUUUCCUAGCCUGAAGAGUAAUAAGAUGUUUAAUUUACAAUCAUAUAGAAACUCUUUCAUACUUCUAAUCAUCCUUGUUGUCUUCUCUGUAUCUUUCUGAUUGGAGAGAGAGGAGAGAAAACUGAACAAAAAGUGUAUACAGUGUUCAAGACAAGCUCAUGCUGUGAAAUUACAGAGGUGUAACAAUA